Molecule: transfer RNA, 55 nt
Filed under: Dolicheulota formosensis
Lineage: Eukaryota; Metazoa; Mollusca; Gastropoda; Stylommatophora; Camaenidae
Description: tRNA-Gly
Source: RNAcentral
UUUUAAUUAGUAUAUAAAGUAUAGUUACCUUCCAAGUAAAAGGACUAAUUUUGAU